This 488-nucleotide ribosomal RNA is filed under the name uncultured bacterium. Its description in RNAcentral is "partial 16S ribosomal RNA". It matches the Rfam family "Bacterial small subunit ribosomal RNA", at positions 28 to 507 of the family's 1533-position model. The record is from RNAcentral.
GAUGAACGCUAGCGGCAGGCUUAACACAUGCCAGUCGAGGGGCAGCAUAAUGGAUAGCCCUAUCUAUGGUGGCGACCGGCGCACGGGUGCGUAACGCGUAUGCAACCUACCUUUAACAGGGGGAUAACACUGAGAAAUUGGUACUAAUACCCCAUAAUAUCAUAGAAGGCAUCUUUUAUGGUUGAAAAUUCCGAUGGUUAGAGAUGGGCAUGCGUUGUAUUAGCUAGUUGGUGGGGUAACGGCUCACCAAGGCGACGAUACAUAGGGGGACUGAGAGGUUAACCCCCCACACUGGUACUGAGACACGGACCAGACUCCUACGGGAGGCAGCAGUGAGGAAUAUGGGUCAAUGGACGCAAGUCUGAACCAGCCAUGCCGCGUGCAGGAGGACGGCUCUAUGAGUUGUAAACUGCUUUUGUACGAGGGUAAACGCAGAUACGUGUAUCUGUCUGAAAGUAUCGUACGAAUAAGGAUCGGCUAACUCCGUG